Molecule: transfer RNA, 86 nt
Filed under: Palleronia marisminoris
Lineage: Bacteria; Pseudomonadati; Pseudomonadota; Alphaproteobacteria; Rhodobacterales; Roseobacteraceae
Also listed under: 3 other names
Description: tRNA_Leu_GAG
Rfam family: tRNA
About the family: Transfer RNA (tRNA) molecules are approximately 80 nucleotides in length. Their secondary structure includes four short double-helical elements and three loops (D, anti-codon, and T loops).
Source: RNAcentral
GCGGUCGUGGCGGAAUGGUAGACGCGCAGCGUUGAGGUCGCUGUGGGGUAACACCCGUGGAGGUUCAAGUCCUCUCGACCGCACCA